RNAcentral lists this ribosomal RNA (251 nucleotides) under uncultured prokaryote. RNAcentral's name for it is "partial 16S ribosomal RNA". It matches the Rfam family "Bacterial small subunit ribosomal RNA", at positions 525 to 775 of the family's 1533-position model. The record is from RNAcentral.
ACGUAGGGGGCGAGCGUUGUCCGGAAUUACUGGGCGUAAAGGGUGCGCAGGCGGUUUUUUAAGUCAGAUGUGAAAUACCCGGGCUUAACCUGGGGGGUGCAUUUGAAACUGGAAGACUUGAGUGCAGGAGAGGAAAGUGGAAUUCCUAGUGUAGCGGUGAAAUGCGUAGAUAUUAGGAGGAACACCAGUGGCGAAGGCGACUUUCUGGACUGUAACUGACGCUGAGGCACGAAAGCGUGGGGAGCAAACAG